GAUGAACGCUGGCGGCGUGCUUAACACAUGCAAGUCGAACGGAAAGGCCCAAGCUUGCUUGGGUACUCGAGUGGCGAACGGGUGAGUAACACGUGGGUGAUCUGCCCUGCACUUCGGGAUAAGCCUGGGAAACUGGGUCUAAUACCGGAUAGGACCACAUUUUGGAUGGUGUGGUGGAAAGUUUUUCGGUGUGGGAUGAGCUCGCGGCCUAUCAGCUUGUUGGUGGGGUAAUGGCCUACCAAGGCGUCGACGGGUAGCCGGCCUGAGAGGGUGUACGGCCACAUUGGGACUUAGAUACGGCCCAGACUCCUACGGGAGGCAGCAGUGGGGAAUAUUGCACAAUGGGCGCAAGCCUGAUGCAGCGACGCCGCGUGGGGGAUGACGGCCUUCGGGUUGUAAACUCCUUUCGCUAGGGACGAAGCGUUUUUGUGACGGUACCUGGAGAAGAAGCACCGGCUAACUACGUG
Molecule: ribosomal RNA, 467 nt
Filed under: uncultured bacterium
Lineage: Bacteria
Description: partial 16S ribosomal RNA
Rfam family: Bacterial small subunit ribosomal RNA
Source: RNAcentral